Long non-coding RNA from Gallus gallus (chicken), 1836 nucleotides. RefSeq lists it as uncharacterized. The transcript has 2 exons. The record is from RefSeq and is a predicted model, not a curated record. NCBI's taxonomy places the organism in Eukaryota, Metazoa, Chordata, Aves, Galliformes, Phasianidae.
CAGGCAGAAGUAAAACAGGGUGCUGGGAUUCCUCCAUCCUGCUGCCAGAUGUCUUCUCUGGCAUUCUGGGGGUGGGCAGGGGACUGUGGGAGCACCCUCGAGGCUCUGGGCAGGAUGGUAGGAAGCAAAGAUGCAGCUGCAGGCAGUGGGCUGUGGGCUGGAGCAGUGCAGCCAGGCACAGCCGCACGGCUCACAGUAUGGGCACAUGGAGGAAGUUCAUCCAGCUGAGAGCUGCUGGGCUGUCCUUACCAUGCACUCUCCCAUCCUACAUGUCUGCACAGACUGCAGCAGUUGCUUGAGCAUUUUCCACUGCGGCAGCUCACAAGCGACAACUCCAACCUUGACCCAUACAGGGCUGGCAGCCACAGAGGAAUUGUCUCUUUCUGGAGGCUGUGUCCUGUGGAUUGCUGGGUGAGCCCUGGUCCUUGGAAAGAGGUAGGUGAUUUUUUUUAAUUAUUAUUAUUAUUAUUUUUAUUGCAGGGUUUUGAUCUCUGCCUUUCUGAGAGGAUUCUAUGCUGGUUUAGGGUAGCUAUAUCUGCUAUGCCUGUCCUUAUGAUGCCCUUCAAUUGUUCUCUGAGAAAAAUGAAGGGGUUGUCUCCCUUUCUCUGACCUGGUAGUAGCGGAACUGACAUACAUUCAUUUCUUCUGCUAUUAUCUCGUUUCUGGAAUGCUUCAAUCAGCCCCAAGGUAAUGCUGGUUGGCUUACUGAGCAUUGCAACUCCAGAAAUGCCUGGAGCUGGUGGUCUUUUCCAUAAAGGGGUUCUGUGCUUUCCAGAUCUUCUUUGCAACUCUUCUUAAACUCAGUACCUUCUCAUUAAGUCUCUGUUCCCUCUUUCAUGAUUCUCAUCUCACAGUCUCCAACUUGGGACUCCAAACUUGGUUUGUCUGCCGCCACGCUGUCCCAGCCCAUUUUAUGACAUGUACUCUCUGUGUCCCCCUCCCUGUUCUCUCUGUGUCCUCGUGCCCCACCCGCGUCUUUGUGUUCUCCCUGUGUCCUCUCUCCAUGUCCGUUCUGUGUCUCCUAAUUAUGUUCUGCGUCCCUUUUGAUCUCUUUCUGUUUUGCAGCUCGAUGGGGUUUAAGGAUUUCUGGGGCUCCUCUAGCUAGUGGUUUAAGCACUGUGAAAUCUGUGGAGCAGAUAAUGGAACACCACAAGCCCCUUGUUUGUGCAUGGCUUGUAUGCAGGCAGCUUUUGUGAUAGCUGUGGAAAGCUCACUUAAAGAUGAAAUGGGGGUUACCUUGCUCAGUGGGGUCUAUUUUUCCAGCCCAAUAAGCUACAUGGCUAGUGAUAGAGUGAGGUGAAUCUACCAGGCUGGGACCUGAGCUUAAGAAAACCACUGGGCCCCAGUAGCCAUUUUCUUCAUCCUCACUUGAUAUAAUACAGUCUCCACUACUCGAGUAUAGUGAGCACAAAUAUUCUGUUCCCAUUUUGUCUGGUUCUCUCCUAUAUUGUCCUUACAAAUUUGUCAGUGGUAACAGGUGCCAGGGCAUAAUUCUCAGAGCACACUGUGGCCGACCGCCCCAGGGUCCUAUGGUUCUUUCUGUUUCUAUGGCAGAUCUGGCUUUGUAUUUAUAGGAAACAAGGGAUUGUUCUCCACUGGGCCACUUCAUCAGGAUCACCCCAGAUAUCUCCAUUCCAGUUGUCUGGGGAUGCCAUUACUUUCCUAACCUGUAUGGUACCCAAACCCCCUGCCCCUCUUCCUUCCAUCCCCUGACCCCCCAUUAAAUAGCUAGCUCUGCAGCUAUGGGACCCGACAGUGUGAUGAGGCAAGGCCUCUGAUCUACUGAAUACUGAGACUGGCACAGAGAGGCUCUACAACUGGUCUGGAUCUUCCUGA